This 482-nucleotide ribosomal RNA is filed under the name uncultured bacterium. Its description in RNAcentral is "bacterial SSU rRNA". It matches the Rfam family "Bacterial small subunit ribosomal RNA", at positions 8 to 507 of the family's 1533-position model. The record is from RNAcentral.
AGAGUUUGAUCAUGGCUCAGGACGAACGCUGGCGGCGUGCUUAACACAUGCAAGUCGAACGGUAAGGCCCUUCGGAGUACACGAGUGGCGAACGGGUGAGUAACACGUGGGUGAUCUGCCCUGCACUUCGGGAUAAGCCUGGGAAACUGGGUCUAAUACCGGAUAGGACCAUGGACUUCACGGUUUGUGGUGGAAAGCUUUUGCGGUGUGGGAUGGGCCCGCGGCCUAUCAGCUUGUUGGUGGGGUAAUGGCCUACCAAGGCGACGACGGGUAGCCGGCCUGAGAGGGUGUCCGGCCACACUGGGACUGAGAUACGGCCCAGACUCCUACGGGAGGCAGCAGUGGGGAAUAUUGCACAAUGGGCGCAAGCCUGAUGCAGCGACGCCGCGUGAGGGAUGACGGCCUUCGGGUUGUAAACCUCUUUCAAUAGGGACGAAGCGCAAGUGACGGUACCUAUAGAAGAAGCACCGGCCAACUACGUG